This 365-nucleotide unclassified non-coding RNA is filed under the name uncultured Chloroflexaceae bacterium. RNAcentral's name for it is "contains 16S-23S intergenic spacer region". The record is from RNAcentral. Lineage: Bacteria; Bacillati; Chloroflexota; Chloroflexia; Chloroflexales; Chloroflexaceae.
UCCGGUCUUCAAACCGGCAGUCCCACUAGACACAAGGUAACUAGCGGUAGGGGUUGCGCUCGUUGCGGGACUGAACCCAACAUCUCACGACACGAGCUGACGACAACCAUGCAGCACCUGUGUACGACCCUCGAAGGCGACCGCCUUUCAGCGGCUUGCACGUACAUGUCAAGGCUAGGUAAGGUUCUUCGCGUUGCGUCGAAUUAAACCACACGCUCCGCUGCUUGUGCGGGCCCCCGUCAAUUCCUUUGAGUUUUAAGCUUGCGCUCGUAGUCCCCAGGCGGCCGGCUUACCGCGUGUGCUGAGGCACCCAGGGGCUGAACGCCCCCAGACACCGAGCCGGCAUCGUUUACGGCGUGGACUAC